RNAcentral lists this ribosomal RNA (502 nucleotides) under uncultured bacterium. RNAcentral's name for it is "bacterial SSU rRNA". It matches the Rfam family "Bacterial small subunit ribosomal RNA", at positions 25 to 518 of the family's 1533-position model. The record is from RNAcentral.
CAGAACGAACGCUGGCGGCGCGUUUAAGCAUGCAAGUCGAGCGGCAAGGGCCUCGGGCCCUAGAGCGGCGGACGGGUGAGUAACACGUGGACAAUCUGCCCCCCGGCCCGGGAUAGCCCAGGGAAACCUGGAUUAAUACCGGAUGAGACGGGACCCGCGAUGGCGGGACCCGGGAAAGGCGCUGCGGCGCCGCCGGGGGAUGAGUCUGCGUCCCAUUAGCUAGACGGCGGGGUAACGGCCCACCGUGGCGACGAUGGGUAGCCGGCCUGAGAGGGUGGACGGCCACAUUGGAACUGAGACACGGUCCAGACUCCUACGGGAGGCAGCAGCUAAGAAUCUUCCGCAAUGGGCGAAAGCCUGGCGGAGCGACGCCGCGUGAGGGAUGACAAGCUUUCGGGUUGUAAACCUCUUUUAUUAAGGAAAAAAGAUCUAUAUGCUAAUAUCAUGUAGAUUUGAUGGUACUUAUUGAAUAAGCCCCGGCUAACUACGUGCCAGCAGCUGC